UAGUUAUUGUGAUAUUGGCCUGGUUCACUCAGACCAAGUGAUCACUAAGAUAUACUAUUGUUUUUGUGUGUCGAUUUUGUGUUUGAUUGAGCCGUGCCAAUAUCUUAAUACUAUUU
Molecule: non-coding RNA, 116 nt
Organism: Cicer arietinum (chickpea)
Lineage: Eukaryota; Viridiplantae; Streptophyta; Magnoliopsida; Fabales; Fabaceae
Source: Rfam